This is a non-coding RNA of Trichomalopsis sarcophagae, 45 nucleotides long. Lineage: Eukaryota; Metazoa; Arthropoda; Insecta; Hymenoptera; Pteromalidae. The record is from Rfam.
AAAUCAGCCCUUUUCAGGGCUACCAAAUUAUUUAACGAGGAACUA